This 4043-nucleotide long non-coding RNA is filed under the name Homo sapiens (human). RNAcentral describes it as "HSALNT0290998". Lineage: Eukaryota; Metazoa; Chordata; Mammalia; Primates; Hominidae. The record is from RNAcentral.
ACACAGGGCGGUGGCGGCGGCGGUGGUGGUGAUGGUGACGGUGCUGUGCUACAGGUUUGCACUUGUUUCUCUAUGUGGCAAGGCCCUGCGUGUGACUGCGUUUGUGCGUGUCUGUGAGCACGGUGCGCUGGAAACUGCGUGCUUGGGUCUGUGGCAGGCUGAAUGGAGGAGGGCGGAGGGAGUCCAUGGCUAUGUUUGUACUUGUCUGUGAGCCCGGGGUCAGAUGCGCUCCAUGUGCUACCUCCUGUGUGCACAGGUGGCCGCUGUGUCCAACCGUGUCUUUGUGUGUUUCGGGUUGCCUGAAUGUGCACAGGCGGAGGACAUGGAGGGGGGGAUUUGAGUGCGUGCCUGUGCAGGCCCCUUUAACGUGGCAAGUCUAAGAAAUGUCGGCCUUCUUGGCAGCGAAUCUGGGCUUGGUUCCACUGGGGGCGUCUGCAGAGAGGGGCUCUUAGAAGGGACGUGCUUGAGCGAGAGAGACAGGAAGGGAAGGGGGGGCCAGCCCCAGCUCGGGGUUUCCAGGAGGGAAAGCCAGACAUUGGAACUUGUCAACGCUACCUCCUUCCCUGCCCCCACCUUCCACUGCUGCCUCCCCUCCUGGCGCCUGAAGGCUGCUGGCAGACGGACAGACAGACAGACAGUGCACACAUAGACUGGCUCAUAGGCACAGAGCCCAAACCUGAGCCCCUAAAUGCACAAGCCUGGACACUGAGGUCCAGAGAGGGCAAAGGAAGUAGCUGAGUCUCGGAGGAGCACAUGUGUUUAUGCAUGUUGGGGGCAGGGGGUGCUGUUGGCCUCUGGUGCUUCAACCCAGACUGGAGCCCAGGCCUAGGGCGGGGAAGAGGCUGUGGAGAGCCUCUGGGGAGGGGCUUUUAUGGCUCUAACCAGGCCCUCAAGGCCCCCAGCUCCUCUCCCUGUUUAUACAACUGCUGCAGUGUCUUUGAGAGUCCUGUUGCCUCAAAAAAACACCUACCGCAACUCCCUGUUUGUACAGAGGCAGAAAAGACCCAGAGAGGAGCAGCAGCUGAUCCAGGGUCACACAGCAGAACCAGGACUGGAAUCCAGGGCUCCUUCUCCUAGCUGUGCAUGUUGGCCCAUGGGCCACUUAGUCUUAUCUUUCCCUUGGUCCAUUUAUCUUUUCUUCCUCCCAGGUCUUCGGGAUAUGACAACGACCUCUUUUUUGUGUUGCUUUUGUUGCCCAAGUGAUAUGUCUGUCUGCCUGUUAGUCCAUCUGUUUGUCACAGGGCUUCAAUACCCUCUGGCAGAAUACGGAAGAGAAGAGGGCUUGGUUUUUGGCCAAGGGCUAUUGGAGAGAUAGGGGUGGGAUGGGGAGACAGAGAAACAGAACGAAAGGAAUUUGAGACGAGAGGAAGGAGGAGAGAAGAGCAAGGGGAGGGCACUGGCGGCAGAGCUGAGAAGCCCAGGCUGCCCUUUACCUCCACCUCCAGCCUGGGCACAGGGGCGAGCUCUGAGCUCAGAGACUCUGAGUCCUGCCUCUUGGGGCCUUGGGGAGAGGACCCCAGGGCUCCUGUAGGGUCUGGGCCCAACCCCCAAACCCUGGGGGCAGCUGGGUUGGAGUCCUGGGGUCAGUAUUCGGGGUGCAGGUGUGGGGUGCAGUGACCGAACUGCCCUCAUGGGAAAAGGAGGGAGGGGAUUGCAGGUACCUAGGGGGCAUGAACCUGGGCAUGCGUUGACUUAGUGUGUGUGGUCUCUUUGCAGCAGGGUUGUUGAGAGUGUGCGUGAGGUUGCGAGUACGCUAGGACUCUGUGUGGACACCUAUGAACAUACAUGACCCAGUGGCAGACAAGCUGGGAUUUCAGUGGGGAGGGGAAGGACUGCAGGAAUGUGUGUCUAUGACCGGCAGGGAGUGGUUGUCUAUGUGUGGAAGGAUUUGUGUGAACCUGCCUUACAUGUUCUUGGGGAGGCUGUAUCCUGUGUAUGUAGGCAGGUGAACUGUAUAGCUCUGUACAAUUGUGUGUGGUGUGUGUGUGUGUGUGUGUGUGUGUGUGUGUGUCUGGAUGAAUAUGUACCAUGUGUUUGAAUUGCUUAAGUAUUUACAUGUUAAAUGUGUAACUGCAUAUAAGUGUGGAUGUGUAUACAUGUUUGUAAUUGUCUUGAGGUAUAUGUGUGGAGUUACCUGUAUGAGUCUUGCCUGUAGGUUGUGUGUGCAGUUGUGUGUAUUUGUGGAGCAGUGAAUAUUAGGAAGCUGUUCACAUGUGCGGUUGUGUAUUUUGGGGGAUUAGGUUAUAUGUGUCGUUCUUUUUGGAUGGAGUUUCACUCUUGUCACCCAGGCUGGAGUGUAGUGUCAGGAUCCCGGCUCACUGCAACCUCUGCCUCCUGAGUUCAAGCAAUUCUCGUGUCUCAGCCUCCCGAGUAGCUGGGAUCACAGGUGUGUGCCACCACGCCUGGCUAAUUUUUGUAUUUUUAGUAGAGACGGGGUUUUGCCAUGUUGCCCAGGCUGGUCUUGAACUCCUGGCCUCAAGUGAUCUGUCCACCUCGACCUCCCAAAGGGCUGCGAUCACAGGUGCGAGCCACCGUGCCUGGCCUAUAUUUGUGGUUCUUAAGGCUAUACUUUAUUUUUUAUUUUUUGUUUAUUGUCAAACUUCCCCUGUCAGAAUGUAAACUCUAUUAGGACUGAAAUUUUUAUCUAUUUUGCUAACUAUUUUGCUAAUCUAUUCCUAGUGUCCAGAAUAGGGCCCAACACUUAGUAGGCACUGUAUACAUAUUUCUCCAAUGAAUGAUGAAUGAAAGUGUGCAUGCUUGGCAGGGUGUGGGAAGUGUGUUAGGUGUAUGAAUCGUGCGUGUGUGUCUGGGUGUGUGAAUGGAUAAAUUUUUUGUGUCUUGAGUGUGUGAGGUUUCUAGCAUAAGUGGCCUAUGAACCAAGUACGUGCACAGGUGCAUGUGUGUCUAGGCGUGUGACUGUGUACCUGAAGCUGGGCCACGUCUGUGAGCAUUGCACACAACUGUGUGCAUGCACAGUUGUGUGUGCUUGUACAUGGGGGUGGGAAGGCGCUGUCGGCUUCUCCCAGCCUUCAGCACUCACUCAGCUUCACCCCAGGUCGCCUGCUGCGAAAUGUCAGUGGCAGAGAAGCUAAAAAUAUCUGCUCUCCUCCUUCUGCUCACUGCUUGGGCUGAUGGGACUGUGGGGCCCCAGCCGGCCCCUUGGGCCCUGCGGGGAGGAGGAACUGCUGGAUGAGGGGGCGGGGCACAGGGGAAGGAAGGGAGGCCCUCCUUCGUACACACCCUUCCCCCUUUCCUCUUGGGCUCCAAAGCCAGGCUUCAGGCUCACCUCUUUCAGGAAGCCCUCAAGAACCCCCCAGGAGCUGUGUGUGUCUGUGUGUCUGUCUACCUGGCAAGGAGAUAUGGCCCCCAUCAGACUGGAGCUCCACAGAGCAGGUCAAGCGAUUCUCCUGCCUCGGCCUCCCAAGGAACUGGAACCACAGGCGCGCGCCACUGCGCCCAAGGAUUUUCACUUUUAACUGUACAGUGAAGCACAGACUUCUGAGCCAGACUGCUUGGUCUGAACUCUGGUGUCACCACUUAGUAAGUUCUGGUUUGAAUGUACUCACUGAGUGGUCUUCAUAAAUUACCUCUCUGCACUUGAGUCUCCUGUCUGUAAAAUGGGGAUAAUAAUCAUUACAACGAAGCCUCAUAGGAUUCUGGUGGAGACCAAAUGCAUUAAUACAUAUGCAAAGCAUUUGGAACAGCUGGCAUAUAUAAGUGCCAUAUAUCUAUUAUUAAAAAUUUUUAAAUUAUAGAAUGGAUUAAUUUUUGGAUUUUAUAAGCAGAUUCCGCCCCCCGCCCCGCCUUAAAACUGUUAUGAAAAAGCAAGAAAGGCCAGGUGCAGUGGCUCACGCCUGUAAUCCCAGCACUUUGGGAGGCCAAGGUGGGCGGAUCACGAGGUCAGGAGUUCAAGACCAGCCUGGCCAACAUGGUGAAACCCUGUCUCUAGUAAAAACACAAAAAUUAGCUGGGCGUGCGGGCACCUGUAAUCCCAGCUACUUGGGAGGCUGAAGCAGGAGAAUUGCUGCCACUGCGGAGGUUGC